Triticum urartu is the source of this 136-nucleotide non-coding RNA. NCBI's taxonomy places the organism in Eukaryota, Viridiplantae, Streptophyta, Magnoliopsida, Poales, Poaceae. The record is from Rfam.
AUUAUACUCCCUCCGUCCCAAAAUUCUUCUCUUAGAUUUUUCUAGAUACAUAUGUAUCAAGUCACGUUUUAGUGUUAGAUACAUCUGUAUCUAGAUAAAUCAAAGACAAGUAUUUUGGGACGGGAGGGAAUAGAUU